UCUUUGCAAGCUGCUGAAAUCCUCUAUAAAUAGUUCGUUCCAUUUCAUUUUCAAAUCAUCCAACUUAGUUUACAACACUAAGACUAUAUUUAUCAUCUGUAAAGCGGUAUUCCGUCACAUCGGGAGGUUAUCGCACCUUAGUGAGAUUGAGUUGAGUCACUUCGAGUUGUUGUCGUCUUUAUCUUCAGAGUCGGAGGUUUAUUUUCCUUGUACCAGAUUUAAAGCCUCUCUUUGGAGCAGAUUCUUAUUUAUCGCUUUUAUUUAUUUACUUGUCUCACUUUAU
Molecule: long non-coding RNA, 283 nt
Filed under: Lathyrus oleraceus (garden pea)
Lineage: Eukaryota; Viridiplantae; Streptophyta; Magnoliopsida; Fabales; Fabaceae
Description: Pisum sativum (pea) long non-coding RNA (PSAT_LNC000421)
Source: RNAcentral